UACGUAGGCAGCGAGCGUUGUUCGGAGUUACUGGGCGUAAAGGGCUCGUAGGCGGCCAACUAAGUCGGACGUGAAAUCCCUCAGCUUAACUGGGGAACUGCGUCCGAUACUGGAUGGCUUGGAUUUGGGAGAGGGAUGCGGAAUUCCAGGUGUAGCGGUGAAAUGCGUAGAUAUCUGGAGGAACACCGGUGGCGAAGGCGGCAUCCUGGACCAAUAUUGACGCUGAGGAGCGAAAGCUAGGGGAGCAAACGGG
RNAcentral lists this ribosomal RNA (253 nucleotides) under uncultured bacterium. RNAcentral's name for it is "partial 16S ribosomal RNA". It matches the Rfam family "Bacterial small subunit ribosomal RNA", at positions 524 to 776 of the family's 1533-position model. The record is from RNAcentral.